This 332-nucleotide long non-coding RNA is filed under the name Helianthus annuus (common sunflower). RNAcentral describes it as "sRNA HanXRQr2_Chr10g0436651". Lineage: Eukaryota; Viridiplantae; Streptophyta; Magnoliopsida; Asterales; Asteraceae. The record is from RNAcentral.
AUGUUCAACAGUUCAAGGGUAGCAAUUCCAGUUGUCUUAGUUUAGAAACAAAGCAAGGCUGAAAACGAUACUAGAUGAUGAUCAAAUGACGAACGACUCUCAAAAGGUACGUUUCAGAUGGGAAGUAGAAAGUUCGACAUUUCCGUCCACAUUAUUGGUUUCUUCAUCAAUAAGAACGUCAUUGUGAAUUUUGAUAAAACACCUGUUGGAGGUGAACAACGUAAGAAAGUGACGCGAUAGAUUACUGAUAGUGUGGAUUUGAAGUGUGGGAUCAGCAAUCCAGCUCAGAAGGCUUAUUUUUCCAAGUUUCCUUGUUGAGUUUGAAAUUGUUU